RNAcentral lists this ribosomal RNA (353 nucleotides) under uncultured bacterium. Its description in RNAcentral is "partial 16S ribosomal RNA". It matches the Rfam family "Bacterial small subunit ribosomal RNA", at positions 355 to 704 of the family's 1533-position model. The record is from RNAcentral.
UGAGGAAUAUUGGACAAUGGGUGAGAGCCUGAUCCAGCCAUCCCGCGUGAAGGACGACUGCCCUAUGGGUUGUAAACUUCUUUAUACUGGGAUAAACCUACCCUCGUGAGGGUAGCUGAAGGUACAGUAUGAAUAAGCACCGGCUAACUGCCGUGCCAGCAGCCGCGGUAAUACGGAGGGUGCAAGCGUUAUCCGGAUUUAUUGGGUUUAAAGGGUCCGUAGGCGGGCUCGUAAGUCAGUGGUGAAAUCUCAUAGCUUUAACUAUGAAACUGCCAUUGAUACNGCGGGUCUUGAGUAAAGUAGAAGUGGCUGGAAUAAGUAGUGUAGCGGUGAAAUGCAUAGAUAUUACUUAG